Molecule: ribosomal RNA, 497 nt
Filed under: uncultured bacterium
Lineage: Bacteria
Description: partial 16S ribosomal RNA
Rfam family: Bacterial small subunit ribosomal RNA
Source: RNAcentral
GAUGAACGCUGGCGGCGUGCCUAAUACAUGCAAGUCGAGCGAACGGACGAGAAGCUUGCUUCUCUGAUGUUAGCGGCGGACGGGUGAGUAACACGUGGAUAACCUACCUAUAAGACUGGGAUAACUUCGGGAAACCGGAGCUAAUACCGGAUGAUAUUUUGAACCGCAUGGUUCAAAAGUGAAAGACGGUGUUGCUGUCACUUAUAGAUGGAUCCGCGCUGCAUUAGCUAGUUGGUAAGGUAACGGCUUACCAAGGCAACGAUGCAUAGCCGACCUGAGAGGCUGAUCGGCCACCCUGGAACUGAGACACGGUCCAGGCUCCUACGGGAGGCAGCAGUCGGGAAUCUGCCGCAAUGGGCGAAAGCCUGACGGAGCAACGCCGCGUGAGUGAUGAAGGUCUUCGGAUCGUAAAACUCUGUUAUUAGGGAAGAACAUAUGUGUAAGUAACUGUGCACAUCUUGACGGUACCUAAUCAGAAAGCCCCGGCUAACUACGUG